Myotis lucifugus (little brown bat) is the source of this 317-nucleotide long non-coding RNA. RefSeq lists it as uncharacterized. The record is from RefSeq and is a predicted model, not a curated record. Lineage: Eukaryota; Metazoa; Chordata; Mammalia; Chiroptera; Vespertilionidae. The transcript is spliced from 3 exons.
GGCCAUUUUCCGGGCGUCCGAGGACGGUGGGGCGGAGCCGAGCGACCAGAGCGUCCCGGAGGCUUCGUCAUCGACCUUCGGGGGAUCACCAGAUAACACCUCCCACAUCUAGAAAAGGUCAAUUUGGAAAACAUAUUAAAAUGCCUUAAAAGCCAUAUAAGAAGAGUAGAUGUCACCUACAAAAUGCUUCACUUACCUGAGCCAAGUGUACCAGGACAGCCCUGUCGCCUACAGGACCUUACAAGAGGAAUCCAGACAAAGCCCACCAACCACAAUUAAGAUAUCUCUCAAAAGAAAAUCAUUUUAAGCAGACAAUG